This 329-nucleotide unclassified non-coding RNA is filed under the name plant metagenome. RNAcentral's name for it is "partial contains 5.8S ribosomal RNA, internal transcribed spacer 2, and large subunit ribosomal RNA". The stretch from base 1 to 105 matches the Rfam family "5.8S ribosomal RNA", at positions 50 to 154 of the family's 154-position model. The record is from RNAcentral.
GAAAUGCGAUAAGUAAUGUGAAUUGCAGAAUUCUGUGAAUCAUCGAUUCUUUGAACGCACAUUGCGCCCUCUGGUAUUCCGGGGGGCAUGCCUGUCCGAGCGUCAUUGCGAACCCCUCAAGCACGGCUUGUGUGAUGGGCCCUCCCGCGUCUUGGUCGUCAAGACGGGCCCGAAAAGCAGUGGCGGCUUCGCGGUUAUCCGAUCAGCCAGAGCGUAUGGGGACUUUCUCUCUGUCACACGCCCGCGGCGCGGACCGACGCCUGUCGACCUUUAUUCAUCUUUUUCUCGGUUGACCUCGGAUCAGGUAGGGAUACCCGCUGAACUUAAGC